Molecule: transfer RNA, 66 nt
Filed under: Leiodidae sp. BMNH 1274323
Lineage: Eukaryota; Metazoa; Arthropoda; Insecta; Coleoptera; Leiodidae
Description: tRNA-Pro
Source: RNAcentral
CAGAAAAUAGUUUAAGAAAAAUUUUAAUUUUGGAGAUUAAUGAUAUAAAUAGUUUUAUUUUUCUGA